This is a non-coding RNA of Lactuca sativa (garden lettuce), 1587 nucleotides long. NCBI's taxonomy places the organism in Eukaryota, Viridiplantae, Streptophyta, Magnoliopsida, Asterales, Asteraceae. The record is from RefSeq and is a predicted model, not a curated record.
CCAAGAUCAACUGAUUCACCUGAUUAGGGAAUUGCUCCUGAACGAAAUGUGACCCAUUGGGCACGUAUGUAACCUCUAAAUUAGUAAUGCUCGACCUUCUACUUUUGGAUCCUCUAUGUUAAACUCAUACCUUUCGUCUAGUAACGAUCUACACAAGAUUUAAAGUGAGGGUUAAUUAGGCCCAUCUAUUAUGCAGUAUUCAAGUGGUCAAUAAUUGGGAUCUGAAAUGAGUUACCUGUAGGGAACUUUGAGAGCAGUUUGAAAUCCAGAUUUUUCAUAUAAAUUGCCAUACGCGACAAGAUCCUCCUCCGUGAACCAGGAGGGCAAAGGCGUAUCUGGCUCCACAAGAUCCAUGAUCUCCUGGUUUUCACUGGCUAUUGGGAUUUCACUUGCAGAGAAUAAUAUGUAGAUGUUUUUCACCACUGUUUUAGCAUCAAAACGGCUGAAAUCAGCUUCGGCUCUUCCAGGAUUCUGUAAGUAGUGUAUGAGUCAAGAACAUUUAAUUUCUUCCAUGGAGAAUCCCAAAAUGGUGAUGAAUUGAUGAAAUUAAGUUGGGAUGAGAACGACGUACCCGAAAUCUUGAGAUGUAGAAACCCUCGGGAAGGGAUUCAUGACUAACGAGAGGACCUGGGGGGAUAAAUGGCACACCAAGGGUUACGACUCCUAAAACCCUUUCACCACGUAGAAGCGCAAAUGCGUAAGCCACAAACGCUCCAAAAUCUUUGCCGAUUACGAACACCUAUUAGGUAGAAUAAGAUCAAAAUUCGGCAACAAAAUAUUUAUGGAUUUUGUUAGGUUUCAUGUUCUUUAAUUGAAGACAUCAGAUGAACUCAAUAAUUUUUCCCAAAUGCUCACUCAAACGCAGAAAAGCAAAAAAAUAUGUUCAUUAUAUCACAAUCAUUCAUAUCAGUCAUAUCACUUGGUUUAACUUUAACUGGAUCAACCAAAACUGAGAUGAUCAUUAUGCUAGUUCAUUGGAUUUCAAAGAAAAAUGAUGAUUAUUAAAGUUUAGUAUGAGAUGACAGAUGUUUUGCUCGAUUAUGAAAUCGAAGAAAGUGCAAAAACAUCUGACCACACUAGCGAAGUUCUUAAAACUCAAAAUUAGGAUUGAUUUGCCUGCUAAAAAGUCGAUUACGAAUUACGAGAGGGAGUAGUUGAUGUAUCACCUUGUUAACGUUGAGAGAAUCGAGAAUCGCGAGGGUAUCGUAAAGCAUGUCGGAAAAGGAAGUUUUCUCCGGUUCAACGCCGUGAUCUGAUAGCCCGUAACCUCUGAAAUCAGGUGCAAUGGCUCUGAAACCAGCAUUGGCAACGCCAAUCAUCUGGUGGCGCCAGGUGUACCAUAUCUCCGGGAAGCCAUGCAAGAAAACCACUGCCGGCGAAGACUCUUUUCCGAUCUCGGCUACGUGAAGCUUGAUCCCGUUCACUUCAACGAACUUGUGCUCUAUUUGGUCCAUUUUUUAGCGCAAGAGGGAAAGUUUUGUUUUGUUAAAUUGAAUUGAAAUGGUGCGAUUAUAUAGGCUAAUUAUGAGAUAAUUAGAAUCUUUUAAUCUGUAAAAAUAGAAUAUAGUUAACGAUUUAGUGUUUGUU